AACGCGAAGAACCUUACCAGGUCUUGACAUCCAACUAACGAAGCAGAGAUGCAUUAGGUGCCCUUCGGGGAAAGUUGAGACAGGUGGUGCAUGGUUGUCGUCAGCUCGUGUCGUGAGAUGUUGGGUUAAGUCCCGCAACGAGCGCAACCCUUAUUGCUAGUUGCUACGUAAGAGCACUCUAGCGAGACUGCCGUUGAUAAAACGGAGGAAGGUGGGGAUGACGUCAAAUCAUCAUGCCCCUUAUGACCUGGGCUACACACGUACUACAAUGGCUGUUAACAGAGGGAAGCAAUACAGUGAUGUGGAGCAAAACCCCAAAAACAGUCUUAGUUCGGACUGCAGGCUGCAACUCGCCUGCACGAAGUUGGAAUUGCUAGUAAUCGCAGAUCAGCAUGCUGCGGUGAAUACGUUCCCGGGCCUUGUAACACCG
This 430-nucleotide ribosomal RNA is filed under the name uncultured bacterium. RNAcentral's name for it is "bacterial SSU rRNA". It matches the Rfam family "Bacterial small subunit ribosomal RNA", at positions 958 to 1392 of the family's 1533-position model. The record is from RNAcentral.